CCAAGGUUGUCACACACCUAUAGUCUCAGCUACUGAGGAGGCUGAGACAGGAGGAUCGCUUGAGUCCAGGAGUUCUGGGCUGUAGUGCACUAUACCAAUCGGGUGUCCACACUAAUUUCAGUAUCAAUAUGGUGACCUCCUGGGAGUGGGGGGCCACCAGGUUGCCUAAGGAGGGGUCAACCAGCUGAGAUCGGAAACAGAGCAGGUCAAAACUCCCGUACUGAUCAGUAGUGGGAUUGCGCCUGUGAAUAGCCACUGCUCUCCAGCCUGGGCAACAAAGUGAGACCCUGACUCUA
Otolemur garnettii (small-eared galago) is the source of this 296-nucleotide non-coding RNA. Lineage: Eukaryota; Metazoa; Chordata; Mammalia; Primates; Galagidae. The record is from Rfam.